GAUGAACGCUGGCGGCGUGCCUAAUACAUGCAAGUCGAGCGAACAGACGAGGAGCUUGCUCCUCUGACGUUAGCGGCGGACGGGUGAGUAACACGUGGAUAACCUACCUAUAAGACUGGGAUAACUUCGGGAAACCGGAGCUAAUACCGGAUAUAAUAUUGAACGGAAGGGUUCAUUGGUGAAGACGGUUUUUGCUGUACCUAUUGGUGGAUCCCCGCCGCAUUAGCUAGUUGGUAAGGUAACGGCUUACCAAGGCAACGAUGCGUAGCCGACCUGAGAGGGUGAUCGGCCACACUGGAACUGAGACACGGUCCAGACUCCUACGGGAGGCAGCAGUAGGGAAUCCUCCGCAAUGGGCGAAAGCCUGACGGAGCAACGCCGCGUGAGUGAUGAAGGUCUUCGGAUCGUAAAACUCUGUUAUUAGGGAAGAACAAAUGUGUAAGUAACUAUGCACGUCUUGACGGUACCUAAUCAGAAAGCCACGGCUAACUACGUG
RNAcentral lists this ribosomal RNA (496 nucleotides) under uncultured bacterium. RNAcentral describes it as "partial 16S ribosomal RNA". It matches the Rfam family "Bacterial small subunit ribosomal RNA", at positions 28 to 507 of the family's 1533-position model. The record is from RNAcentral.